GAAUGGCUGAGCAGUUUGGCACACACUGUCUUAUUUUAUUCACUCGAUAGUUAUUAUUAUUUUUUUAAAAAAAUAACAUUGGGAAUACUUUUUCUCAAAUAUUUUAUAUAAUUAACUUAGUAAUUUUUUAACUGAAAAUUUACCCAAGAAUCUUGGCUUUUGCAUUGUAAAACGGGUACCCACCCAAUGGCUAAUUUUUAUUUGAUGCAAUUGGUUUCCUGUGUUGCUUGGCCAAAAUUGGAAUUAUACAUGAGCCAGUACAUUUUCAGAUUCAGUGUUAUUAGCGAAUGAGGCAGGGGGCAUGUAUUUUAGGAUUUUCUGUUUGUUUCUUUAGAAGUAAUGUUGACAGUAAAAUUAGUGAAAACAAUAUCUUGACCAACCAUAGAAUUCCAAUGAUUUGAAUGCCAAACCUACAUGGAGAAAUUAUGUCUGCCACUUACAUAGAAAGAUGGCACAUCUUGGUUGGAAUCAUGUUAUUUUCUGCUCAUAUUUUUCUAUUCUGAUGAUGAAAGUUUUCUUACUGUGUUAUUUGAUUGUUAUUCACAUCUAUAAUCAACAUAACAUAAUACUUGUCUUUCUUCUCUUUUCUUCUUUUUUCUUGUAUUCUACUGUACAGAUAUGCCUCUAGAACAACAGGCUCAUUACUUUCUGUUUCUACAUGACAAGCAAUGGGUGAAAAUUAAAGAACCAAACAUACAUGAGUCAUGAAUGUGAUCGUCUGUAUUUUUAUACAGAUUAAGCGGUCAUCAUUAUCCUGGCAAAUUCCUCAUAACUAACAAGACCAUCACCAUCAAAAUCCGCCUCUCUUAUCAUCUGUUCAGCUUCCUCCUCUGUCAAUCUCUCUCCCAUAUUUAUCAUCACUUGCCUUAGCUGCAUAGUUAAACAAUGCAUCAGAUCAUGAUCAGAAACAUGUCAAACUGGAUAAUUUGGAGAAGUUGAAAUAUGAUUAUUGACCUCAUUGGCUGAUAUGUAUCCAUCCUGGUUUCUGUCAAAUACUUUGAAAGCUUCUUUUAGCUCUUCAGCAACAUUUUCCUGCAAGAAUUAAACGACAUGACUAUGAAGAUUAGUAAGAAAUUAAUUCAUUAGUGCAGCUGUGACAGCUGCAUAUAUAAAAUUUCACCUUCAUUUUCCGUCCCAUAAUGUUCAAGAACUCCUGAAAAUCUAUUGUUCCAUUUCCAUUAACUUCAACUUCACUUGUCAUUUGCUGAACUUCUUCUUUUGUAGGAUGUCCAUCCAGCGAUUGUAUAGUGGUUGCUAGUUCUUCCACUGUGAUGAAGCCUGCAUGGACAUUGUUAGAAUAUAAUAGUUAUGGAAAAGACAUAUACAUAUGAAGUAGAACAUAACGAACCAUCCGAGUCCUUGUCAAUCAAGCAAAAGGCCUCUCGGAAGUCUGCAAUCUGAUCUACUGUAAGUGCAUCUGCCAUUGUUCUGUAAUCUUUCAAGCUUUUCUGGUAGAUGAAAAGCUACAAGAAAUGAAGAAGACGAAGGAGAAGAAAUGUGUUUCUUGUGGGUGAAGGCGUAUGAUAUAAAAAAAGUAGGCUAUGAUGGAAUUAUAGUUAUAUUUAAUAGGAAGAGAUAGAAAAUGGAAAUAGUUCAACGCGCUUCAGCUAUGAAUUGAUGAAUUCCAUUCAAAGCUUCCCAAAUAAAAUCAACUUUUUGAAUGGAAUUUUAUUUGAAUGCCACAUUUUGUCCGGCCUUUGGUCUAAUUCUUGAAAACAAAGUCAACUGCACCAUGACUUCUUUUUUUUUUUUUUUUCUUUUUUCAUCUUUGCCGUGUAUUUUAGGGAAGCUCAGUUCUGAACAGGUAGGUAAGGUUCAUAUUUGGUUUUGCUACGCUUUGUUCUAAGCGCAAGAAAAAUGGACUGAAUUGAAUAUAGGAUGAGAAAUUGAGAUAUCAUGGAAUCUAGACUAGCUGUUUGAUUUGAUGGAAUUGGAAUUUAUUGAGACAUAUUCAAAAAAAUAAUAUGUAUUGAAUUUGGAUUUAUGAGUGACUAUCCGACAGUCUUGUUUCAGAGAUUUGAUGAAAUUAACUCCUGAUCUGAUUCUGGUUGGAAGAUCUCUUUAGGGUUUAACAAGAUUGCAGUAAAAUUCAUCUUGUACAGGUCUGUAGAAUGCUCACCCCACCCCAGAAAAAAAAAAACUUUUUGUUGGACCUGCUGCAGAUAUUUUGAUCAAACCCUGGCGUUCUAUAUUCUUUUACUUUCACUUCGCUUCAAUUCAGAAGCAUCUAUCUGGCAUUGAGAUUCAAAGUUAAAAAAGGUUUUUCAAAAAAAAAAAUUCAUUUUAGAUGUUAUUGUUACUUUAGGAAGGAAAAUAUUCCCAUUUUGAUAUGAUGUUGUUUUUGUUCAGGAUUUUGAGGAUGUCAAGGCAUUCGCAGUCAUAGUACCAUAGAUAAGCGGCCUCGCACAAGCGAGGGUCUGAAAUCUCAUCUAGGUGCCCGAAUUGAUGAUCAGCGUUCUACGUACAAAGGAUGAUUUGAGGUUGAGGACCCAUGUAUCCUCUCUUUUCUGGGUCUUCUGAUGCUGUACCAACAAAACAUCUCGCCCUCUGGACAUCGGAGCUUGGUUUUAUAUGGGGACGCCAGUCCUGAUUCAGAAGCAAAGAAGUAGCUUGCAGUGUCCUUUUGGUGGUGGAAAGUACUCAAACCUCCACCUAUGUUCAAAUGAAAUUGGCCAGUAGCUUGCACUAUUUUUUUCGUAAUCUGUGGUGACACUAUUGCAUAUUGGACCUCCAUAGGCUUCUGGGUCUACAGUUUUACCAGGCGGCACCAAAUACUGGUUUUUGUAUUUUUAUGCCUUCUACUCGGGACUUCUGAUUCUAAUGUUCCAAUGACUUGUGUGUUCAUAUUUGCAUGAAAUCUCAAAUAUCUUUGAGAAAAAGAGAAAG
This 2886-nucleotide long non-coding RNA is filed under the name Manihot esculenta (cassava). Its description in RNAcentral is "long non-coding RNA (MESC_LNC002710)". Lineage: Eukaryota; Viridiplantae; Streptophyta; Magnoliopsida; Malpighiales; Euphorbiaceae. The record is from RNAcentral.